This is a non-coding RNA of Nephila pilipes (giant wood spider), 91 nucleotides long. Lineage: Eukaryota; Metazoa; Arthropoda; Arachnida; Araneae; Nephilidae. The record is from the annotation of a GenBank genome assembly.
GCUGCGAUAGCUUAGUGGUCAUGGUCGCGGACUGACGUUCGCCGAGUCGGCUGUUCGACUCCAGAGGCCAUUAAAUAUCCGCCUUGUAGCG